CCCUUAGAUGUUCUGGGCCACACGCGUGCUACACUGAGCGGAUCAGCGGGUCAGGUUGCGCGAAAGCGUUUCCUAAUCUUUAAAUCCGCUCGUGAUGGGGAUUGACGGUUGCAAUUUUCUGUCAUGAACGAGGAAUACCUUGUAAGCGCGGGUCAUCAUCCCGCGCUGAAUACGUCCCUGCCCUUUGUACACACCGCCCGUCGCUCCUACCGAUUGAGUGGUCCGGUGAGGCUUUGGGAUCUGAGCGGAAAGAGCGUUUCGCUGUUUCUGCUCGGAAAACUCAGUCGAACCUUAUCAUUUAGAGGAAGGAGAAGUCGUAACA
RNAcentral lists this ribosomal RNA (322 nucleotides) under uncultured eukaryote. Its description in RNAcentral is "partial 18S ribosomal RNA". It matches the Rfam family "Eukaryotic small subunit ribosomal RNA", at positions 1470 to 1796 of the family's 1831-position model. The record is from RNAcentral.